GGGGGUAUAGCUCAGUUGGGAGAGCACCUGCUUUGCACGCAGGGGGUCAUCGGUUCAAGUCCGAUUACCUCCA
Molecule: transfer RNA, 73 nt
Filed under: Pseudomonadota bacterium
Lineage: Bacteria; Pseudomonadati; Pseudomonadota
Also listed under: 1 other name
Description: tRNA-Ala
Rfam family: tRNA
About the family: Transfer RNA (tRNA) molecules are approximately 80 nucleotides in length. Their secondary structure includes four short double-helical elements and three loops (D, anti-codon, and T loops).
Source: RNAcentral